Non-coding RNA from Pelodiscus sinensis (Chinese soft-shelled turtle), 1100 nucleotides. The record is from RefSeq and is a predicted model, not a curated record. Lineage: Eukaryota; Metazoa; Chordata; Testudines; Trionychidae.
CCACAGCUCUUUCCACAGCUGCACUGACUGCAAAUCUGACACUCUUUAAAAUAUUGUCACUAAACAUUUAUCGUCUGAAAGAUGCCAUAUGGUUCACCAGCAUCUGCUAACAGCAAACAUCCAAUGGCCUAUCCAAUGGCCAAACAUGGCACGCAGUCACAUUCUUCAUUUCCUUGACCCCAGGAAGCAACAGCAUACGGCAAGACUGAGAGAUUUUCAAUGCCUCUGCUAAGCUACAGCAUAUCUAGCAUUCCAUGUCCAUAUGCUAGAAAUCAGCAAUUUAUGCUGUUGUAGAAGAAAUGUUUAAAAAAUGAAGCACAAACCACUAGAGGGAAACUUUUCAUUGAAGAUUUGCUGAGAGGCAAAACGAAGAAUGGAGAGAGAGAAGGCAGAGCCAGAGACAACUGAGGAAUUGCCAAAAAUUUACAAAUCACAAUUGGUCUCUCUGCCUAGUGACAGAGUGAAAGGGGAGCCUAAAUUGUUUGAAUCUGAUGCAACUAACAAGAAACAAAGCAAUUUCAAAAUUUAACACAGGGGAAUCAAAUUCUCCAAAGCUACUCAGAGUAUUUUCUUUGUGUCAUUGUAGCUCAAACUAAAAGUAAAAAAAUCUACCCAGAACUGAGCAUAAUUUUUAUUUUUCCAUUUGAAACAUGGGAUUAUUUCUUGCAGGCAUUUGGAAAGACACUAUAUUCAGGACUUUGGUUGCCAGUAAAAAUUCAGUUUUGGAAACCAUCAUUAGUCAGCAUAAAAAUGGGUCUAGUUCUAUGGAAAUUAGAUUAUUCCUAUUUUUUUUUCUGGAGACUGCACAAGCUGUGCUUUUUUGGAUUUUUGAAAAGCAGGAUAUGAAUUGAAAAGAAAAAAAUAUCAAACAUUCAAUUAUUCAUUACUGUAGAAUCCAAACCUGUGUCUGGAAGAACGUUCUCAGACAUCCAGCUGAACAUCAAGCCAUAUACUCUCCUAGAUCCCCAUGUAUAGCUCCAGCCCCUUCAAACAGAAACAUGGAGUAAAAAAAUUUGGCAUACAAAAAUAUUAGCCAUUGAUACCGUAACAGUCAUAAUUAACAGCUGAAAUCUAUCAGCUUAACAGAGCAAUAGUGACUG